GAUAAACGCUGGCGGCGUGCAUGAGACAUGCAAGUCGAACGAAGGAUCGGGCUUGCUCGAUCCUUAGUGGCGGACGGCUGAGUAACGCGUAGGUGACCUACCCCGAAGUGGGGAAUAACUGCCCGAAAGGGUGGCUAAUACCGCAUGUGGUCGCACGUUCAUUCGUGCGAGUAAAGCCGCAAGGCGCUUCGGGAGGGGCCUGCGUCCGAUUAGCUCGUUGGUGGGGUAAUGGCUUACCAAGGCGACGAUCGGUAGGUGGUCUGAGAGGACGAUCACCCAGACUGGGACUGAGACACGGCCCAGACUCCUACGGGAGGCAGCAGGCGGGAAUUUUGCUCAAUGGGGGAAACCCUGAAGCAGCAACGCCGCGUGAGGGAUGAAGGCCUUCGGGUUGUAAACCUCUUUUGUCAGGGACGAUGAUGACGGUACCUGGCGAAUAAGCCACGGCUAACUACGUG
This 458-nucleotide ribosomal RNA is filed under the name uncultured bacterium. Its description in RNAcentral is "partial 16S ribosomal RNA". It matches the Rfam family "Bacterial small subunit ribosomal RNA", at positions 28 to 507 of the family's 1533-position model. The record is from RNAcentral.